Molecule: ribosomal RNA, 253 nt
Filed under: uncultured bacterium
Lineage: Bacteria
Description: partial 16S ribosomal RNA
Rfam family: Bacterial small subunit ribosomal RNA
Source: RNAcentral
UACAGAGGGGGCGAGCGUUAUUCGGAAUUAUUGGGCGUAAAGGGCGCGUAGGCUGCCUUUCAAGUGACGGGUGAAAUCCCUCGGCUUAACCGAGGAACUGCCUGUCAGACUGGAAGGCUUGAGACCGGGAGAGGUGAGUGGAAUUCCCAGUGUAGCGGUGAAAUGCGUAGAUAUCGGGAGGAACACCAGUGGCGAAGGCGGCUCACUGGACCGGUACUGACGCUGAGGCGCGAAAGCGUGGGGAGCAAACAGG